This 551-nucleotide ribosomal RNA is filed under the name Staphylococcus aureus. RNAcentral's name for it is "partial 23S ribosomal RNA". It matches the Rfam family "Bacterial large subunit ribosomal RNA", at positions 617 to 1167 of the family's 2925-position model. Lineage: Bacteria; Bacillati; Bacillota; Bacilli; Caryophanales; Staphylococcaceae. The record is from RNAcentral.
GAACCGGCGAGUUACGAUUUGAUGCAAGGUUAAGCAGUAAAUGUGGAGCCGUAGCGAAAGCGAGUCUGAAUAGGGCGUUUAGUAUUUGGUCGUAGACCCGAAACCAGGUGAUCUACCCUUGGUCAGGUUGAAGUUCAGGUAACACUGAAUGGAGGACCGAACCGACUUACGUUGAAAAGUGAGCGGAUGAACUGAGGGUAGCGGAGAAAUUCCAAUCGAACCUGGAGAUAGCUGGUUCUCUCCGAAAUAGCUUUAGGGCUAGCCUCAAGUGAUGAUUAUUGGAGGUAGAGCACUGUUUGGACGAGGGGCCCCUCUCGGGUUACCGAAUUCAGACAAACUCCGAAUGCCAAUUAAUUUAACUUGGGAGUCAGAACAUGGGUGAUAAGGUCCGUGUUCGAAAGGGAAACAGCCCAGACCACCAGCUAAGGUCCCAAAAUAUAUGUUAAGUGGAAAAGGAUGUGGCGUUGCCCAGACAACUAGGAUGUUGGCUUAGAAGCAGCCAUCAUUUAAAGAGUGCGUAAUAGCUCACUAGUCGAGUGACACUGCGCCGA